GGCAGUGUUGCUCGGCCUGCGGGCCGUGCUGCAGGUACGUACUGCAACGAGGCGGGGGCAGUGUUGCUCGGCCUGCGGGCCGUGCUGCAGGUACGUACUGCAACGAGGCGGGGGCAGUGUUGCUCGGCCUGCGGGCCGUGCUGCAGGUACGUACUGCAACGAGGCGGGGGCAGUGUUGCUCGGCCUGCGGGCCGUGCUGCAGGUACGUACUGCAACGAGGCGGGGGCAGUGUUGCUCGGCCUGCGGGCCGUGCUGCAGGUACGUACUGCAACGAGGCGGGGG
Molecule: long non-coding RNA, 282 nt
Organism: Cydia pomonella (codling moth)
Lineage: Eukaryota; Metazoa; Arthropoda; Insecta; Lepidoptera; Tortricidae
Exons: 3
Source: RefSeq, a predicted model, not a curated record